Molecule: transfer RNA, 85 nt
Filed under: Candidatus Acidianus copahuensis
Lineage: Archaea; Thermoproteati; Thermoproteota; Thermoprotei; Sulfolobales; Sulfolobaceae
Description: tRNA-Ser
Rfam family: tRNA
About the family: Transfer RNA (tRNA) molecules are approximately 80 nucleotides in length. Their secondary structure includes four short double-helical elements and three loops (D, anti-codon, and T loops).
Source: RNAcentral
GCCGGGGUGCCCGAGCGGACCAAGGGGGUGGGCUCGAGACCCACUGUCCUCCAAGGACACACGGGUUCAAAUCCCGUCCCCGGCG